GGAAUAUGAGAGAGAGAGAUGGAAUAUGAGAGAGAGAGAGAUGGAAUAUGAGAGACAGAGAGAUGGAAUAUGAGAGAGAGAGAGAUGGAAUAUGAGAGAGAGAGAGAUGGAAUAUGAGAGAGAGAGAGAUGGAAUAUGAGAGACAGAGAGAUGGAAUAUGAGACACAGAGAGAUGGAAUAUGAGAGACAGAGAGAUGGAAUAUGAGAGACAGAGAUGGAAUAUGAGAGAGAGAGAGAUGGAAUAUGAGAGAGAGAGAGAUGGAAUAUGAGAGACAGAGAGAUGGAUAUAGAGACUAUUAGAGGGAGAAACAAUAAAGGAGGGAGAGCGAGAAAGGAGGAAAGUAAGAAACCAUAGAAAGGCAGGUGAGAGACAAUGAGGAAAUUGAGAGAGGAGAAAGUAAGGGCCAUUAAAAACACAAUUUUGGCUCUGCGGUAAUGUCAGGCAGAGGCUUCAGCUGUUGUUGAUGUUGUGUGUCUUUGUGUUGGGCUUUUCAUUCAAACCAAAUCAUGUGGCAUGGUGUUCUCAUCCUCUGGUGUAAAAUACCUUCAAGGAUCAAAUGUUGAUUCAGAUUGGAAAUAUUGAUUCUUAACGGCACUUCAUUGACACAUUUUAGAAUGCAUUCAUGUGCUUGUCAUUGCUUGUCAUUUUAAUCACAUGCACGUUUUAAAGCUAUUGACAACACAUUAGCAUACUGCCUUUAGGGCUUUCACAACCACACGAUAAAUGCAUUCACUCACAUGAUGCACUUAAGAAUGUCUUACGGGCGAUAUCAGUAAGAAGGGCACCUCUUAAUGUAGGAGACUCACAUAGAGAACCUGAAUAAUGUUGGUCCUUUACUACAUGUCCCAUGAGGCUAUGCAACAAGGUAUCAUAUUAGAAUGGCUGGCAGGCUGGGAGAACUUUCAAGAAGAAGAAAGUUGGGGUUUUCCUUAGACCAGCAUGCUCUAUAAGUAUGGUCCAUGAUGGAGCCCUGCCCAAGGUGGACACAGAAAAGCUUGUUUACUGUGUUAUCCUCUGCUGGAUAGGUUGUGUGGA
RNAcentral lists this long non-coding RNA (1036 nucleotides) under Salmo salar (Atlantic salmon). RNAcentral's name for it is "lncRNA (ENSSSAG00000100712.1)". Lineage: Eukaryota; Metazoa; Chordata; Actinopteri; Salmoniformes; Salmonidae. The record is from RNAcentral.